RNAcentral lists this ribosomal RNA (253 nucleotides) under uncultured bacterium. RNAcentral describes it as "partial 16S ribosomal RNA". It matches the Rfam family "Bacterial small subunit ribosomal RNA", at positions 524 to 776 of the family's 1533-position model. The record is from RNAcentral.
UACGGAGGUGGCAAGCGUUGCUCGGAAUUACUGGGCGUAAAGGGCGCGUAGGCGGCCAACUAAGUCGGACGUGAAAUCCCCGGGCUCAACCCGGGAACUGCGUCCGAUACUGGAUGGCUUGAAUCCGGGAGAGGGAUGUGGAAUUCCAGGUGUAGCGGUGAAAUGCGUAGAUAUCUGGAGGAACACCGGUGGCGAAGGCGGCAUCCUGGACCGGUAUUGACGCUGAGGCGCGAAAGCCAGGGGGGCAAACGGG